RNAcentral lists this ribosomal RNA (629 nucleotides) under Enterobacter sp. PX-L-S.E.sp. RNAcentral describes it as "bacterial SSU rRNA". It matches the Rfam family "Bacterial small subunit ribosomal RNA", at positions 643 to 1272 of the family's 1533-position model. Lineage: Bacteria; Pseudomonadati; Pseudomonadota; Gammaproteobacteria; Enterobacterales; Enterobacteriaceae. The record is from RNAcentral. RNAcentral also lists the same sequence under 1 other name.
AGAGUCUUGUAGAGGGGGGUAGAAUUCCAGGUGUAGCGGUGAACUGUGUAGAGAUUAGGAGGAAUACCGGUGGCCAAGGCGGCCCCCUGGACAAAGACUGACGAUCAGGUGUGAUAGCGUGGAGAGCAAACAGGAUUAGAUACCAGGGUAGUUCAUGGUGUAAACGAUGUAGAUUUGGAGGUUGUGCCCGUGAGGCAUGGCUUCGGGAGUUAACGAAUUAAAUAGACCGCCUGGGGAGUACGGCCGCAAGGUUAAAACUCAAUUGAAUUGACGGGGGCCCGCACGAGCGGUGGAGCAUGUGGUUUAUUUAGUUGCAACGCGAAGAACCUUCCUUAGUCUUGACAUCCACAGAACUUAGCAGAGAUGAUUUGGUGCCUUCGUGAACUGUGAGACAGGUGCUGCAUGGCUGUUGUCAGCUUGUGUUGUGAAAUGUUGGGUUAAGUCCCGCAACGAGCGCAACCCUUAUCCUUUGUUGCCAGCGGUCCGGCCGGGAACUCAAAGGAGACUGCCAGUGAUAAACUGGAGGAAGGUGGGGAUGACGUCAAGUCAUCAUGGCCCUUACGACCAGGGCUACACACGUGAUACAAUGGCAUAUACAAAGAGAAGCGACCUCGCGAGAGCAAGCGGAC